Molecule: long non-coding RNA, 5161 nt
Filed under: Penaeus japonicus
Lineage: Eukaryota; Metazoa; Arthropoda; Malacostraca; Decapoda; Penaeidae
Description: uncharacterized LOC122264635
Source: RNAcentral
AGAAGUUUAGAAAAGGGCUUCAGCAUGUUAAACAAUUAUUCUAGUUUAUGCAUACAUUAUUUUUUUUUAGUACCUAUUACAUUUAUUGUGUUAUUUGGUCAUGAUUGAAGGCAUGUUUUCCACAUGACGCCUUGGCAAAAUACAAUUUUAUUUGUACUUUUUUUUUUCUUAGUUCAAUACAAAGCCAAAGUCAUAUUGUCAUGUAAUUAUUGUAAUUGAAUAACUAAACUGAUGUAGAAUGUCAUAUUUACAUAUCAGACUUUGUACAAAAAUCAAAAUCUUAUCAAAUAGGUGACGAAAAAAAAAGGAAAUCCAUCCUGACUCGUCCCCUUAGACAUUCAGACAUGAAAAGAAUGUUGUGUUUAAGUGCAGCGGAAUAGAUAAAGGUCAAGAGACAAAUAAAUUCUACAAAAUGUUUUAGGAUAGUAGUCUGUUCAGCCAAUUACGCCAUGUGUGUUCCAGAGGUCGGUGGUCCGCUAGAUAGGAAGAAUUUGAAGGGAGUGUUUGCUAUGUCCAGGAUUGUCACUCUCCUACUUGAAAGAUUUUCUUCAAAUAUGUAAAAUGUGAUUUGAAAAUUACACUUUUUGUAAGGUAUACAGUUUCCUUUUUAUUUGCUUUAGUUAGUUUGUUAAAGACUGAUAUUGUAGUAUAUACUCCAUAUUUUCUGAUCAUGUGGAUAAGACAUGAAAAUGAAGUAACAUAGGUUUAAAGAGGAAUGAAAACAGGAUUUGAAUUUUUUAUUCAGUUGAAAUAUAUUAUGAAAAUUACACUAUGUUGUCUGCACUUUUCUAAACCAACCAGGUCAUGUGUAAUAAAAAAUAUAGUUAUUUGACAUGGAAAAAAAAAAAAAAAAAUCCACCCAUAAUUCAAAUUAUCAUUAGCACUUUUUUCUUGAAAAUGUCUGUAAAUUGUAUAACAUGUACUUCGUGGUGUGAUGUGAAGUGAUAUGACGGGUAAUCAACAAAUUAGAAAUAGUUUUAUAUUGGUAAUUUUCUCUUUUAUUUUACUUCUUGGCAAGUCACAUUUGAUCUUACAGUAGUUUUAUGACUCGGAUCUUUUUAUUCAAAUGAUCAGAAGCAGAAAUUACCAUGAUGUCAUUAAUAUCACGUGGUUUUCUGUGACGUAAUUUAUUAUUUUUAUUAUUAUUAUUAUUAUUAUUAUUAUUUUAAUUAAUUUUUUUUUUUUUUUAGUACUACUACUGCGUUGCAUUCAAACACCUAAAGGAAACUAACAGAGUCUAAGAAAUUAUGAAAAAUGAUUAUAUUUAAGAAUAAUCUAGUGUUCUAUUGCUAACUUUUCAUCACGUCACAGCUGCCCUGCCUGGAACUCGGCGAGAAAAUGCAAGACGUCUCUGGACAUCACCCAGGUCCAGGGAUAUUUCUCGACCAUGUGAUAGGACGUCAGCCAACGUGAAUGGAGCAAAGGUGGCAUCCUGGCCAAGGCGUGCGACUACAUCUCUGAACUGAGACUGCAAAACGAACAGCUGAUGGAGCGGCUCAAGGAGAUGCAGCGUCGGGACAUGGACUUUGAGUUGCUCAAGCAGGAGGUGGAGGUGCUCAAGAAUGAGAAUGCGGCGCUGAAGAAUGAAAAUGCGCUAGUGCGGUCACAGCUGCAGCAGCAAGGCCUCCUGGGCGAGCUACCUCCAUAACUCAGGCGAACCGCAAGGCUCAGCCAGCGGACUUGCACUUGCACGCGCUCUGGCGGCUCCUUUGUGGAUAGAUAAUUUAUAUACAUAUUUAAAAAAAAAAAGAAAUGAAAAAAAUGAGAUAUUUGUAAAUUGUGAUACGAGAAUUAUAUUUACAUGCAAAGCCUGAGAUGUUCAUUGAGUUGGGCCUUAGUGUGGACAACCCUUUGUUGUAAAGAUGGAAAUCAAGGAGCCGUUGACGAUAACCUCUUGCAGUCAACUGCUGGUAGUGCUGCAAAGAGGGAGGCUUGCAACACUGCAGGGAGGACCGGACCUGCUUUGUUAUAGAUGAUGAUCUGACAACCCUAAUAUAAAGGAUGAAAUGGUUAUUGUAGAUAAUCUUUUUUUGAUUUUUAGGAAAAUUGGGAAAGUUAGCAGGGAAAGUUUGUAUUUUUUUUCUUUUUUUAUAAUAUCAGUGAAAUUUAGACCCUUCGUAUUUUGUAAUGAAUAUUUUUCUUUUUCUCUUUUAUCUUUUAUAUAUAUAUAUAUAUAUGAAUGUUCUACUUGUAGUGUGAUAGUAUUUGUUAAAGUAUAAAAGGCAUGUUUUUUUUAUGUAUGAUUAUUAUUAUUAUUUUUUUUUUAAGGAUUUACUUCUUUAAGACAUUUUUGCUUUUAGUACAGAUGCUUAUUAUAAAAGGCCAAGAAGACAGAAUCAGUGAAGUUAUUUGUCUCUUUUUACAGAUAAAACUUGCUGUGUAUAUAGAUGGUGAAAAAGUAAAGAAAAGAAGAAAAAACUUGGAUUUUUGUCAGUUUAAGCUGAAAUUUUCUUUGAAGAGGUACAAAUGAUUUGUUUCUUCAUUUCUUCUACAAUCCUCCACAAAAAUAUUGGUUUGAAUAAAAUUUUUCUUCAUCUUAUUACUACUAUUGACACUAUUAUCAUUAUAAAUCAAUCAUUCAUCAUCUUCCGUUUCACUAGUAAUAUCAUCAUCAUAAUCGUCGUUUUUAUUUUCAUGUUAGUCAUUAAUUUUUUGUUUGUUUACUAUUUCACUUGUUUUCUCAUCUGCUUUUUCAGAACAUUACUCUUAUGAUUAUUAUUAUCAUUAUUAAUUAGUUAUUAUACUCCACCUCUUCUUAACGCCUAAGGAUAUUUUAGGAGUGAUUGUUCAUUGAUGCUGAUUGCAUUGGGUGGCGGCAUUUUUUCUAAUGAUAUUGAUAGUUAAUAAUUUUUUAAAUUAUUUAUAUUUAAGUGUGCUAAAAGUUUAUUUUAUUAUUAUUAUUAUUUAUAUAAUGUGAAGAAGUGUAAAAUUUGCUAUGAAGGAUUUUAAAAAGAAAAUUAGAAUAAAAGGAAUGGCAUUUAAAAAGAUAUUUACAGCCACAUUCUUAGUCAUCUCAGUUACAGCUUGACUUUCUUAAAUGACGCAACUUUCUCUCAUCGCUCAUUACUUGUUGACCAUGGCAAAUUUUUGGGAAGGUUUUUUACUGCCUUAGGAGCUCUUGCCAUAUUUCCUGUUGAAUGUUUUUUAUCAGAUUUCAACAAUUCAGAUUAUUUAUUUUUUUUAAGUACAAUUUAGAAUUUGUUUACUACCCCUCAUGCCAAAAUCACCAUCUUCAAUUAGUAAUAGAUUAGAUUGAGGUAAGAUUUGGCUUACCUGGUUGGAGAAUGUCAGGAGUGAGGGAGAGAGAAAUCUACAACAGCUACUUAACGCAGCGGAUGGCAUGAUUUGCUGUCAAGGCAACAUCGGUCAUCAACGCUGAUGGCACCGUGCCAUACAACAUAAACCCGCCACAUGACUGUAUACAUAUUUUAUUAAAACCGCGGCCAAUGGAUUGAUUAUAAAUAGAGUACUCUAUUUGCUCAUGUUGAUAACACUGAAUUUUUUUUUAUCAUAUUUAAAGGGUUUGAGAGCAGUUGAAAUAGCUGGCUGACAUGACAUUUAUUAUUCCUACAUUUCAAAAAUCCUCAAUUUUACCCAAGAUGAACUGACUCUAAAUAUGGUUGUUAGGGAGCAUGUAUAUGAAGAGAACUAGGGGGAAUUCUGUCUGUGACAUAAUUCCACAUUGAAAGGAGAGUAUUGAUUUUGGCAUAUUUUUUGUGUCAAGUAGAACUAUUAUCAUAAAUGUUGAUUUGUGAAAGUUUAUUUUUUUAUUAUUAUUAUUAUUAUUAUUAUUAUUAUAUUAUUUUUUAUUUAUUUUUUAUUUAUUUUUUGGAUGGGGAUCCUGUUUCAAGAAGUACAAACUAAGAGUUUUUUUUCUUCUUCAGAUGUUAAAGAUGCAAAUCAGAAACGGAGUGGUAUUUUUAAAAUUUAUAAUACAAUUAGCGGAAAAUUUGUUUGGCUUGGCAGAUUCUCAUUUUCUUUUUUAUUUUGAGAGCAGUUUCUCACAAAAUUCUGCCAAACCAUAACAUGCAUGUAUUCCUUUAUGUAUUUAUAUGCAUACUACAUACAGAUACACACACAAUCAUAUAUAUAUAUAUAUAUAUGUAUAUAUAUUUUUCUCUGUAUUUCAAUCAGUCUCCUCUUCUGUCCUUCUCUUUUUGAUCAGCAUUUUAAGGUUUCACAUUUGCAUAGUUUUCUCAAAAUAAUACAUGAGUAAAAAAGGGUGCCAUACUGUACUCUGCUCUGUACAUUGUAUAUAAUGUUGUAAUUACUUCAUUGCAUAGUAGUCUAGAUUCAUCAUGUAAAAUCACAUGUUAAAACAACUGUUGUGAGUACACUUGGUAACACCCAGGAAAUUUACAUAAUUAGUUUUUAUAAUAUUGUAUAUAAUAUUUUUAGGCAUGCCUUUAAGGAGAACAUCCUUAAUGAAGAAAAUAUAUAUAUAUGUAUAUGUAUAUGUAUAUGUAGAUGAGAAAAUGAUAAUGGUAAAGAAGAAGCAAGAACUUUAAAAACAGCAAAUAUUGACUACCAAACACUAAGGCAAAAGACUAACAGCAACAACCAUAGACACAAGCAAGUCUUGUGCUAUGGUGUUCUGGUUUACCAUUGAUUAACUGUUUUUUUCUGUUACUGGGAAAGGAGUUGGUUAUUUAAGUAGGAUACAAAAAGGGCAGGAAACUUCAGCUCGACUUCCUUCUAAUUGCAAGAUGUUGAGGGCAGUGUUUUUUCUAUCAUCUUGCAUGCAAUACUUAUUUUCAUUUAUUUAGAUAUUGUUUAAAUGGGAAAAUGUGUGAAAAACUGAUUUUGGGUGUAUGUUGUUAUGCAAAAUAUUUUCAUGGAAAUGGAAGGUCCUUAUUCAUCCAUUGUAGUAGAUAAUGUUUCACUGAUAUGACAUCUUGUGGCAAUAAACAGAUUUUGUCAAAAUUUAAUUGUAUAAAAGCUUCAUCAAAGUGAAGGAUACAACAUAUGAUAGUUUAGUAAAAUACAAGUUUAUCAACAUAUUAAUGUGUUAAAAAAAUCUAAGAAAGCCAUUUAUCCAAAAGAAAUUUUAGAUGAGAAUUAUGACAAGCUUUUGAAGGAAGAAGAGACUGAAUAGAUAGAUCUGCAGGAACCUUGUAGGUUAUACCCUGUUAAAGGCAAAUAUGAUGUAAUAUUACUAAAA